GAGCAAGGAUUAAAAAGAAAAAGACCUCCAACUGCAUGCCAGAGUAACGGAGAGACUUGGACAACCCAGGUCAUCACAGUGCCUGCUGUUGCCACUCAGCUCUCCUAUAUGU
Molecule: small nucleolar RNA, 112 nt
Organism: Rattus rattus (black rat)
Lineage: Eukaryota; Metazoa; Chordata; Mammalia; Rodentia; Muridae
Product: small nucleolar RNA SNORA44
Exons: 1
Source: RefSeq, a predicted model, not a curated record